This 65-nucleotide transfer RNA is filed under the name Mytilus trossulus (common blue mussel). Its description in RNAcentral is "tRNA-Pro". It matches the Rfam family "tRNA". From Rfam's summary of the family: Transfer RNA (tRNA) molecules are approximately 80 nucleotides in length. Their secondary structure includes four short double-helical elements and three loops (D, anti-codon, and T loops). Lineage: Eukaryota; Metazoa; Mollusca; Bivalvia; Mytilida; Mytilidae. The record is from RNAcentral.
CUAGAUAUAGUUUAAAAUAAAAUAUUGGCUUUGGGAGCUAAAGACACUUUCAUAAGUUUUCUAGA